This 790-nucleotide ribosomal RNA is filed under the name Geniculospora sp. 8d-CH10. RNAcentral's name for it is "SSU rRNA". It matches the Rfam family "Eukaryotic small subunit ribosomal RNA", at positions 627 to 1445 of the family's 1831-position model. Lineage: Eukaryota; Fungi; Ascomycota; Leotiomycetes; Helotiales; Solenopeziaceae. The record is from RNAcentral.
CUCGUAGUUGAACCUUGGGCCUGGCUGGCCGGUCCGCCUCACCGCGUGCACUGGUCCGGCCGGGCCUUUCCUUCUGGGGAGCCGCAUGCCCUUCACUGGGUGUGUCGGGGAACCAGGACUUUUACUUUGAAAAAAUUAGAGUGUUCAAAGCAGGCCUAUGCUCGAAUACAUUAGCAUGGAAUAAUAGAAUAGGACGUGUGGUUCUAUUUUGUUGGUUUCUAGGACCGCCGUAAUGAUUAAUAGGGAUAGUCGGGGGCAUCAGUAUUCAAUUGUCAGAGGUGAAAUUCUUGGAUUUAUUGAAGACUAACUACUGCGAAAGCAUUUGCCAAGGAUGUUUUCAUUAAUCAGUGAACGAAAGUUAGGGGAUCGAAGACGAUCAGAUACCGUCGUAGUCUUAACCAUAAACUAUGCCGACUAGGGAUCGGGCGAUGUUAUUUUUUGACUCGCUCGGCACCUUACGAGAAAUCAAAGUUUUUGGGUUCUGGGGGGAGUAUGGUCGCAAGGCUGAAACUUAAAGAAAUUGACGGAAGGGCACCACCAGGAGUGGAGCCUGCGGCUUAAUUUGACUCAACACGGGGAAACUCACCAGGUCCAGACACAAUAAGGAUUGACAGAUUGAGAGCUCUUUCUUGAUUUUGUGGGUGGUGGUGCAUGGCCGUUCUUAGUUGGUGGAGUGAUUUGUCUGCUUAAUUGCGAUAACGAACGAGACCUUAACCUGCUAAAUAGCCAGGCUAGCUUUGGCUGGUCGCCGGCUUCUUAGAGGGACUAUCGGCUCAAGCCGAUGGAAGUU